Nicotiana tabacum (common tobacco) is the source of this 1873-nucleotide long non-coding RNA. RefSeq lists it as uncharacterized. The record is from RefSeq and is a predicted model, not a curated record. Lineage: Eukaryota; Viridiplantae; Streptophyta; Magnoliopsida; Solanales; Solanaceae.
GAUCAACCCGAUAUUGAAUUUUUUUAAUCUGAAAUAGACUCAUCAUGAGGGCAAGAGGGCAGUUACCCUCCCAAAGAUAAGUAGCAGGUUUAUCUGAGCAAAAUCUGAGGGAGUAGGGAGAUCUUUCCAGGCCCUUCUCCAUUUGAGAUCAUAACUUAACUCCAUCUCUUGGCAAGAUGUAUAGCAAAAGCUAAGACAGGUGCAUCGAUUUGUAGUAACUGGUCGUCGUAUCUAGGUUGAUCAAAGGAUUCUGACCAUUGCUGAAACGUACGGGUAAAAUAAUUGGUUUGAAUUGAAGUAACAUAAAGCAAAAUCUGAGGGAGUAGGGAGAUAUUUCCUGGCCCUUCUCCAUUUGAGAUCAUAACUUAACUCCAUCUCUUGGCAAGAUUUAUAGCAAAAGCUAAGACAGGUGCAUCGAUUUGUAGUAACUGGUCAUCAUAUCUAGGUUGAUCAAAGGAUUCUGACCAUUGCUGAAACGUAUGAGUAAAAUAAUUGGUUUGAAUUGAAGUAACAUAAAAAAUGAAGUAAAGAAGUAUAGUAAUUAUCAGUUCUACUGGUUCCUGCAAGUUUUAUUUAUAAUUGUCCUGAGAUAUGCAUCAAAUUAGAUGAAGAUGGCACUUUGAUUAUAUUUAAGUGAUUUUGCUCAAGGAUGGAGCAGUUCUCUUAGCGAUGAUGCUUUAACCAUUUACUUAAAUCCUUUAAAUAAGAGUUGCAGAAGACGAUUAUUCAUAUGCUGGUAGAAUCAUACAUGCUGUCCAACUCUUUUUGAAUUGAAAUUUCCCAAUUUUGAUCUCCUUUUUGGUUUAAACUACCUAGGUAUUUGCUUCCAUCUAUAAAUACCAAAAUGAAGGAAUGGAGACCAACUUUGAACAUGGAUAGAGUUGCUGACAGAUGUUAUUUGAUAAAUUUGAGAGUGUUGACAUGAUUGAUCAUCGCGAUCAUAUCUUGGGAUGGAUGAAAGAGUUAUGGAACAAAUGGAGAGGACACUUGCAUGCAAAAUAUGUGAAGGAUAGGCCUAUCCAAAAGGCUCUUAGGAAUAUUCCAAAGGGAGUAGACAAGAAAGAAUGGGAGUGGUUAGUAAAGGAACAUUUUUCUUCAAAAAGUUUUCAGACAUGAAGUAAUAGGAAUGCAGCAAACCGAGCUAAGUUGAAGAUACUUCAGCAUAUUGGUAGUAAGCCUAUUCGAGAGAUAAUUUAUCAAAAGGGCGGGAAAGAUGGCAAUCCACCAGAUUUGGCAACAAUUUUCUUUGAGACUCGUUUGAAAAAUAACAAGUUGUUUGAACCUGAAGCAAUUGAAAAACAUGCUCAGAUUGAAGAAAUAGUUCAAUCGAAUCCAGCUCUACCUAGCAUAGAGAUAGUAGAAAAAUGUUGUGGACCUCAAACUCUAGCCACGUAUUUCGCUUUAGGGGUGGAGUAAAGGCGAAAUACUUGAAAGGUGGCACUUCUUCAAAGGCUGAAUUACUGUCCGCGAUACGUUCAACUAGAGAGAAAAAUAAAUCUUUGAAUGAGGAAAACAAAUCCUUACAGGAUCGCUUGUCUACCUUAGAAGAUGAGAUGAAAGAAAUGAGGAAAAUAAAGGAAUAUUUCGUACGCAACAAUCACAUGUCUCUCCUUCUACAUCAUUCGUUUCAAAUGAAUGACCACUAUUUUUUUCUACUGACCAACCUUGUUGAUAUUGCUGGAUAACACAUGAAUUUAGAUUGCUUUUGGGAUUUUGAAGAUUGAAGCUACAAGUCAAGAUUCAAGUUUGAAAGAUACACAAGCUCGUUAUUAUUUUGCUAGGAAUGUUAUGUAAAACUUGAUAUUAUAGACUAGCUCAGGAUGUUAGCUAAGUUUUUUUGUUAAGAUGUUGAGCAAAUAUUGAAACUAAUAUC